RNAcentral lists this non-coding RNA (159 nucleotides) under pig gut metagenome. RNAcentral describes it as "Lysine riboswitch". It matches the Rfam family "Lysine riboswitch aptamer". From Rfam's summary of the family: Riboswitches are metabolite binding domains within certain messenger RNAs that serve as precision sensors for their corresponding targets. Allosteric rearrangement of mRNA structure is mediated by ligand binding, and this results in modulation of gene expression. The record is from RNAcentral.
UAUGAUAGAGGUCGCGGAUGACAUGAGUACGCUCCGUAACCGGCCGGCGCCGGGAGCUGAAAGGGGAUUCCGCCGAAGGAGCUGCGCAGCGCCCGGUGUGCAGCGGCCUGGGCCGAAGGAGAAUAUCUUUCGGACUGUCACGAAAGUGGAGCGCUGUCA